RNAcentral lists this ribosomal RNA (325 nucleotides) under uncultured eukaryote. RNAcentral's name for it is "partial 18S ribosomal RNA". It matches the Rfam family "Eukaryotic small subunit ribosomal RNA", at positions 1470 to 1796 of the family's 1831-position model. The record is from RNAcentral.
CCCUUAGAUGUUCUGGGCCGCACGCGCGCUACACUGAUGCGUUCAACGAGUAUACAACCUUGAUCGAUAGGUCUGGGUAAUCUUGUGAAUGCGCAUCGUGCUAGGGAUAGAUUGUUGCAAUUUUCAAUCUUGAACGAGGAAUUCCUAGUAAACGCAAGUCAUCAGCUUGCAUUGAUUACGUCCCUGCCCUUUGUACACACCGCCCGUCGCACCUACCGAUUGAAUGCUCAGGUGAGCCAUUCGGACUUUCAUCAUGCUGGUUUCCAGUUUUGAUGAAGGAAAGUCUUGCGAACCUUAUCAUUUAGAGGAAGGAGAAGUCGUAACA